AUUGAACGCUGGCGGCAGGCCUAACACAUGCAAGUCGAACGGUAACAGGAAGAAGCUUGCUUCUUUGCUGACGAGUGGCGGACGGGUGAGUAAUGUCUGGGAAACUGCCUGAUGGAGGGGGAUAACUACUGGAAACGGUAGCUAAUACCGCAUAACGUCGCAAGACCAAAGAGGGGGACCUUCGGGCCUCUUGCCAUCGGAUGUGCCCAGAUGGGAUUAGCUAGUAGGUGGGGUAACGGCUCACCUAGGCGACGAUCCCUAGCUGGUCUGAGAGGAUGACCAGCCACACUGGAACUGAGACACGAUCCAGACUCCUACGGGAGGCAGCAGUGGGGAAUAUUGCACAAUGGGCGCAAGCCUGAUGCAGCCAUGCCGCGUGUAUGAAGAAGGCCUUCGGGUUGUAAAGUACUUUCAGCGGGGAGGAAGGGAGUAAAGUUAAUACCUUUGCUCAUUGACGUUACCCGCAGAAGAAGCACCGGCUAACUCCGUG
This 490-nucleotide ribosomal RNA is filed under the name uncultured bacterium. RNAcentral describes it as "partial 16S ribosomal RNA". It matches the Rfam family "Bacterial small subunit ribosomal RNA", at positions 30 to 507 of the family's 1533-position model. The record is from RNAcentral.